Egretta garzetta (little egret) is the source of this 101-nucleotide long non-coding RNA. RefSeq lists it as uncharacterized. Lineage: Eukaryota; Metazoa; Chordata; Aves; Pelecaniformes; Ardeidae. The transcript is spliced from 3 exons. The record is from RefSeq and is a predicted model, not a curated record.
UGGUUUAGUUCCUGCUAAGCAGGGCUUGCACAGAGCCAAGGACUUUUCUGCUCCUCGCCCCACCCCACCAGCGAGAGGCUGGGGGUGCACCAGGAGUUGGG